GCCGGAGAACAUAAUAAGAGCUGCGUCCAAGGACAGACACCUUGCGAAGAUUUUUUCAUCCCCGUGAGUAAGGAAGAGGAAGAACAGCAAACAAGCAAGCUACAAUAAAGGCAUCCAUCGAGAAAGACAUGAGCCUUCCAGCCACACCAAGACUCAUAAUGCUUGGUCACAAUUUUUCUCUUCCACAAAGUGGAUGGUAAGCAUUGAGGGAAAGGUGGCCUAUGUUUUGGAUGAGCACCUGGGAUGAGCAGAUGCCUUUCUGUAUUCUUCAUCUUCUACGUUUUCAACAUUGAAUACAAGGGGAGACUGCCUGUGCAACACUGGAACUCAUAAAACAGUUUUUCUUGAGGAUAAACCCAGAGGAGGGAACAAAAUGCACCGCCAAAACCGGAGUGAGUCGGAAGACAGGGGAAGUUGUGAAGAGAAAGACAACAGUAAUAAACAACCGUGUCAUCCUUUCUUCGCCACCUAAUGGAGUUUGAGUGGAGAAACUCGGACUAGAGGGACUUCUGACAGAUUCCUUGACAUAAUGAAGAAUAUUCCUGGUUGUUUCAAGUCAUCAAAUGUGCCAGGUUUAUUGACUUCCAAAGAAGAUGAAAAACUUGAGUACUUAUCUACUUUCACAAUUUAUUGGCUUUGGACAUUUAGGUUUUAGUCAAGUAUAUGAGUAUUUUACACCAAAUUUACAGUAUUUUUAAGUGACAUAUUUCUCAUGUAUUUUCCUAUGAAUUUAAUACUUUAAUGCACAUUCAAUAAUAUGUUAUUUUGUCAAUUCUUUAAUUUAUUCCUUGUUAAUGGAUGUAAAUGUUAAAUCCAGUAUACAGACAAAGGACAAAAAAAUGUUGCACUGUCCCAGCAUUGUAUCUUUAACGACAGUUCUUUAUGCAUAGUCCAGAUACUUUGUUUU
Long non-coding RNA from Carassius auratus (goldfish), 907 nucleotides. RefSeq lists it as uncharacterized. NCBI's taxonomy places the organism in Eukaryota, Metazoa, Chordata, Actinopteri, Cypriniformes, Cyprinidae. The record is from RefSeq and is a predicted model, not a curated record. The transcript is spliced from 5 exons.